Molecule: ribosomal RNA, 336 nt
Filed under: Triticum aestivum (bread wheat)
Lineage: Eukaryota; Viridiplantae; Streptophyta; Magnoliopsida; Poales; Poaceae
Description: partial small subunit ribosomal RNA
Source: RNAcentral
AUGUUCCAGGGCAGGGCCCCACAUGUCAUAGGCCCAAAGGGUUCUAUCGGGCGCCGGGUGCAGCGGCAAACGGGCGCCUGGAGCGGCGCAACCCGGCUGGGCUCCCGCCCAAGUCGACAGGGGAGGGAAGGGCGCCAGGGCGCCGGCAGCUGCGGCGAGCUGCGCCGGGCAGGAGGCAGCAGAGGAGGUGGCGCGGCCCGAGUAGAGGAGGGGGACGCUCGCGGGGAAGCAGGGGGAGACGGAGGCAAGGGGCGCCGGUGGCCAUGGCCAGAGCGGGGAGGCGGCGGACGCCGGCGAAGGCAGCCGCGCGGGGAUGGGGAGCAGGGCCGGCCGUAG